RNAcentral lists this ribosomal RNA (1003 nucleotides) under Rotaliida sp. 2 RM-2014. Its description in RNAcentral is "SSU rRNA". It matches the Rfam family "Eukaryotic small subunit ribosomal RNA", at positions 1163 to 1763 of the family's 1831-position model. The record is from RNAcentral. Lineage: Eukaryota; Foraminifera; Rotaliida.
GGCACCACAAGAACGCGUGGAGCAUGUGGCUUAAUUUGACUCAACGCGGGAAAUCUUACCGGGUCCGGACACACUGAGGAUUGACAGGCAAUAUAUGCUUUGCUUACCUUCGCGGUAGGUACUGCAUUGUUAAAUAUGCUAGUCCUUUCAUGAUUAUGUGAUAGGUGGUGCAUGGCCGUUCUUAGUUCGUGGAGUGAUCUGUCUGCUUAAUUGCGUUUCACUUAUUUUAUAGGAUCUAAUAUUAAUGAUGUGUGAGCGACUCGCAUGCUCUUGACCCACACUUGUUUACUCAGGUGGUCCGUGCGUCAUUAUAGGCUUUUGCUUGACCUCCCAUCUUUUAGCUAUCCUUUGAAAGCAACGAACGUGACCGCAACCUCUUGUUGCCUUCGUUUAACAUCCUACUGGCCUUUAUUGCGCUUGGUGGGUAUUGAGGGCUUCACUCAUUCACUUGAGUAAACUAGAGGGACCGCUGUCUACUUCUUAAACCAGAGGAAGGUUGCGGCAAUAACAGGUCUGUGAUGCCCUUAGAUGUUCCGGGCUGCACACGUGCUACAAUGAUUGUGGCAGUGAGCAUCUAUGAGAUUUACUUACAUGAGUUCGUGAAGUGUGCUUCGGCUCACGGAUCGACUCUAAAAGCCUGCUUUGAGAGCAAGUGGGUAAUCAAUUAGAAGUAACGAUUUCUUCGCAUUAGCACACUUAUAUGCGGCGUUUAUGCCCGGGUUUCACUUGUUGAUGCCUCUGCGUGCGUAGAUGUUGUUGGGUUUUACGACUCGCAUUUACCGCAUGUGCAAUUGUCAAUUCAUGGUGGGGACAGACCAUUGUUAAUUGUUGGUCUCGGUCUUAACUAGGAAUGCCUUGUACGAGUCUUUGGUUCAACAGACCACUCGGAAUAUGUCCCUGCCCUUUGUACACACCGCCCGUCGCUCUUACCGAUGGACUUCUCUGUGAGUUUGAGGGACUGGAGCUUGAGCUUCGGCUUGAAUUCUAUGGAAACUUAAACGAA